This 253-nucleotide ribosomal RNA is filed under the name uncultured bacterium. Its description in RNAcentral is "partial 16S ribosomal RNA". It matches the Rfam family "Bacterial small subunit ribosomal RNA", at positions 524 to 776 of the family's 1533-position model. The record is from RNAcentral.
GACAGGGGUCUCGAGCGUUAAUCGGAAUCACUGGGCUUAAAGGGUGCGUAGGCGGGCCUGUAAGUGUCCUGUGAAAUCCCCCGGCUCAACCGGGGAACUGCGGGGCAUACUGCGGGUCUUGGGCCAACUAGGGGCAGCCGGAACAAGCGGUGGAGCGGUGAAAUGCGUAGAUAUCGCUUGGAACGCCGAAGGUGAAAACAGGCUGCUGGGGUUGCGCCGACGCUGAGACACGAAAGCCAGGGGAGCAAACGGG